Molecule: ribosomal RNA, 312 nt
Filed under: Terrabacter tumescens
Lineage: Bacteria; Bacillati; Actinomycetota; Actinomycetes; Micrococcales; Intrasporangiaceae
Description: bacterial SSU rRNA
Rfam family: Bacterial small subunit ribosomal RNA
Source: RNAcentral
GCUUGCUUGGUCUGAUCAGUGGCGAACGGGUGAGUUUUACGUGAGUAACCUGCCCCAGACUCUGGGAUAAGGCCGGGAAACCGGAGCUAAUACCGGAUAUGACACGCCCCUGCAUGGGGAGUGUGUGGAAAGUUUUUCGGUCUGGGAUGGACUCGCGGCCUAUCAGCUUGUUGGUGAGGUAAUGGCUCACCAAGGCGACGACGGGUAGCCGGCCUGAGAGGGCGACCGGCCACACUGGGACUGAGACACGGCCCAAACUCCUACGGGAGGCAGCAGUGGGGAAUAUUGCACAAUGGGCGAAAGCCUGAUGCA